Molecule: ribosomal RNA, 482 nt
Filed under: uncultured bacterium
Lineage: Bacteria
Description: partial 16S ribosomal RNA
Rfam family: Bacterial small subunit ribosomal RNA
Source: RNAcentral
GAUGAACGCUGGCGGCGUGCCUAACACAUGCAAGUCGAACGCUUCACCUCGGUGAAGAGUGGCUUACGGGUGAGUAAUACCUAAGUAACCUGGCAUCUACCGGGGGCUAACUUUUGGUAACGUCUGCUAAAACCGCAUAUGUGUAGAGAUCGCAUGAACUCUAUAUGAAAAGUGCUACGGGACUGGUAGAUGAUGGACUUAUGGCGCAUUAGCUUGUUGGUAGGGUAACGGCCUACCAAGGCGACGAUGCGUAGCCGACCUGAGAGGGUGACCGGCCACACUGGGACUGAGACACGGCCCAGACUCCUACGGGAGGCAGCAGUAGGGAAUUUUCGGCAAUGGGGGAAACCCUGACCCAGCAACGCCGCGUGAAGGAAGAAGGAAUUCGUUGUGUAAAGUUCUGUUAUAGGGGAAGAACGGUGGAUAUAGGGAAUGAUGUCCAAGUGACGGUACUCUAUAAGAAAGCCACGGCUAACUACGUG